This 325-nucleotide unclassified non-coding RNA is filed under the name Bombus terrestris (buff-tailed bumblebee). RNAcentral's name for it is "misc RNA ENSBTSG00005034519.1". The record is from RNAcentral. Lineage: Eukaryota; Metazoa; Arthropoda; Insecta; Hymenoptera; Apidae.
CUGUUUGAAUUGGAAAACUGUAACUGGUGUCCGUGAAUUUGUCCGGCGCGGUGAACGCUCGAACUUUUACUCUGUACGUGGAUCCAGACUUCAACGGCCCGUUACAGUAUCCGAUCUUGUUGGACGAGUCCUUUGAAAGCAGCCUGUGCAGGCCCAGGAGGUUCUCCUUCUUUCUCCACGUAAAGAACGGAUUCUAUGGCAUCAGCGGGAUCUAUACUAACUUUGUAAUGGGUGUAAAUGCCGGCAGGAUAGGGCGGUUGCCAGAGAACUAGCAAAGUCGUCUCGUUUCUAAACCACACGAUAAACUUGCCCGGUGUGUUGGGUU